CGGAAUGCAGCGGCCCGAGGCCUGGCCACGUCCGCACCCGGGGGAGGGGGCCGCGGCGGCCCAGGCAGGGGUCCCGGCAACGCCCACUCGAGCCGGGGAGCCCGCGGGGCCUCGGUUGCAGGAACCUUCCCUCUACACCAUCAAGGCUGUUUUCAUCCUGGAUAAUGAUGGGCGCCGGCUGCUGGCCAAGUAUUAUGACGACACAUUCCCCUCCACGAAGGAGCAGAUGGUCUUUGAGAAAAAUGUCUUCAACAAGACCAGCCGGACCGACAGCGAGAUUGCAUUUUUUGGGGGCAUGACCAUUGUCUACAAGAGCAGCAUCGACCUCUUCUUGUAUGUGGUGGGCUCAUCCCAUGAGAAUGAGCUGAUGCUCAUGGCUGUUCUCACUUGCCUGUUUGAGUCUCUGAACCACAUGUUAAGGAAGAAUGUGGAGAAGCGCUGGCUGCUGGAGAACAUGGACGGAGCCUUCCUGGUGCUGGAUGAAAUUGUGGAUGGCGGCGUGAUUCUAGAGAGUGACCCCCAGCAAGUGAUCCAGAAAGUGAAUUUUCGGGCAGAUGAUGGCGGCUUGACUGAACAGAGCGUGGCCCAGGUCUUUCUGCCCAGACUAAUCCUGCUUUUAUGGAUCUUCCUGCCCUGGCACUAACUACCUCCACUAUGUGGCCCCGGGCCAAGAUGGGUCUGUGCCAUUUCGUGUGGAGCCCCAGGUUCUUCAGUCUGCCAAGGAACAAAUUAGAUGGUCAUUACUGAAAUGAAGGCUGUGGAUGUAAGCCUCCCUACCCCUGGAAAAUUUCCCCAGUCCUGGAAAAAGUCCAAAGACCCCAGAGGACAGGAGAAACUCCUCUGCGUCCCCAGACUCCUCCUGGAAUUGACUUCUGAGGUCCCUGCCAGGGACUCUGAAAUGCAAAGGUUUGGCCCCAGCACUGAGUCAUCCCUUCCCAUGCCCUGGCCUGCCCACUAGGGCAUGAGAACCAGUUGAGCUGCUUUAACUCAGACCUUAGGCAUUCCUGGCCCCAGAGCCCUAAUAAACCUGCUUUUGUUUGCUGGC
Loxodonta africana (African savanna elephant) is the source of this 1045-nucleotide RNA transcript. It is a transcript of the gene named COPI coat complex subunit zeta 2, with no coding region annotated. The record is from RefSeq and is a predicted model, not a curated record. NCBI's taxonomy places the organism in Eukaryota, Metazoa, Chordata, Mammalia, Proboscidea, Elephantidae. The transcript is spliced from 10 exons.